UCUCCGUCCCCGCAGAGCCCAUCCCUCCCGCCGCCACCUCUCAGCAGCCUCCCCUCCUCUUGCUCCUUGCUCGGGAGGCCGGGUCCCGCUGCCGCUCGCUCGGGGACGCCUCGUCGUCGCGGAUCUGCCGCCCGCGCCCCGCGCGGGCCUUCGCCGCCUGUCCUCGAGAGCAGGGGAGGCCGGAGCUCGCCCGCGGCGGCGCUGCUCACCCGCGCCGGCCGCGGCGCGGUCUCCAGUCGCCGCGCCGUCCACGUGCCGCCGGCCCCCAUCCCCGGCCGCCGUCCGCGACGCCGCGACGUCCGCUCACCGCCACUGCGCCGUCCUCGGCAUCACUGUUCCGCGCCGUCCGCGCCGCCGCUUCGUCCCCGGCGUCGGCGUCGUCGCUUCCUCCUCCGCGCCAUCCUCAAGGCACCAGCGGCGCCGCAACUUCGCAAAGGAGGAAGCCUGUGCCCCAGCCCCGAUUUGAUGGCCAACAGCAACCUCCCGCGCCUGAUCAUCAAGGACACAGGAAGUUCACUCAAUUCUUUGCUUGCGUGGGAUGCACAGAUCAGGGAGGUGCUUCUCUAGCAGCUUAGCAUUUCGAUCUUUUGGCAUUUGUUUCAGUCUUUCAGUCUGUGAGUAUAGAUCAUGAGUAUAACAUGGCAUUCGUUACCCAAUCAUCCUACAAGCCUCCACCAGUCCGCCCCUUCCGUUUUUUAUCUCCAACCCGUCAGGUAAUUAUUUCAUAAUUCACAGCUAUACUCACUCUUUUAAUCUUGAAAAUAUAUCACUCAAAUUGUGAAUUGUAAAAGUUCAAUUCUCUUAUGAUUGAAUAUCAAUGCUGACAUGGAUGAUUUUACAGAUGAUUAGAUAAUAUCAAUUGUACUAAUUUGUACCAUCAUAAAACCUGCAAGGAUCUGCACCGUCAGAUACUACACCUAUUUGAUGCUUUUUUCUUUCUCAAUUAUUUUGCGCUGCCUAAUUUAUCCCUUUGUGUGAAACUUCCAUGGUGCAUGUGUUCAGGAGUGGACUUUUUAUUUGGCUUGAUUAUUUCUGAUAUCAAACUUUCGGAUGGUCGGUAGAUAUCAUUAACAUCCUUGCUAGAUUUAUGACUACUCGAGUAGUCAGAUAAUAAUUGGGCACAUCUCUAGGCGACCAUACUAACCUCUUACGCUGGGAUGAGAUAUUGGCGAGUGAGAUGGUUGCUCUAUGCCGCUGUACUCCAAGGAUAUAGUGUGUAAGUCUACACCAGGAAUCUGGCAUGGUCAUGAUAACCUUUUAGAGUUAUUCAUGAUAUCUGAACUGCCGCAUGUUGCAACAUAAUGUUCUAUAUUGAUGUCAGCCUAAUGUCACAAGAUGAUGAUAACAUGUAAGCAUGUUUGUAGUGGUUAUACCUUCUAAUAAUUUAAUUAUCUCAUAUAGUGGUUUAUAGUUCCUAAUAACUUAAUUACCUCACGUGUAAAGCUCUGAAAUUUCUAAUCUCUGAACCUAGAAGAGAACAAGAUCAGAUUUUGCAGUAAAUGUGAAUCCCUGAACCUAGCAGAACACUAGAUGUCUUAUGGAGUGAUCAAUUUUUCUGGCUUUUGCUUCCAGCUUUAGUGAUCAUAUUAGAGCCUGUUACCUUUGCAUUUUCCUCAUUGAUUCAACCUUCCAGGUUCCAGCAUAGUAUCAGAUAUCACCUACCUAUGACUAUGGAUAAAAGUUUCAACUAGCUGUGCAAAUUUUCAUGAAAACAAACUUAUGUAAUUUAUGAUUUUUGUUGCCCAUAGCAAAGUUUUCUGCGUUGAAGGAUUUCUGGUCUCAUAUCUGUCUAUACUAUAUUUCCAAGACCACCUUCAAAAAUUUUGCAUGUACAAGUAUAAUACUUUUAACAUUAAAACUUUUAGCACUAUCAUGACAUCUUGCCAUUCAAAGCUUAAAAAGGCAUAUUUAAGGUAUGUUGCAUAGCUAAGCGUAUAUAGUUCACAUCUUUCUUGUGCCACGUAUUGUUGCAACUAUUCGCCAUAUUUUCAGAAUCUACACGGUACAUUGUUGUCCUAGCUUUACCACUUUCUGUAGAUUGCAUAGCUAACUUGGCCAUAUUCUUUGUAGGCAGAUAUAUCUGCAUUCACCACCACCAUUGCCUAGAUUGGCAGGAGGAUGCUGAAACCACGUGACCAGCGAUCAAGUUGAAUGCGGCGACCACCAUGGUCUUGCGCACCCUAAGUCAGCUGUUCUUUCUAUGUUUCCACAUUAGAAGUAGGUGCAUGAAAAUGGUUUCAGUUUUUGUAACUUAAUCGAAUAAUCUAUAAUUUUUAAUAUCUCAUGAUCAAUAUCUAUUGCAUAUAUGCCUAAUUGGCUUAUUCGUAUCCGCUUCACAUCUCCUUUAGUAGUGGCUGUAAUUGACCAUGGUGCUUAAUUUAUUUGCAAUCAUUUUUGGUGUUUAUUAUAUAUAUGCUAUACUUUGUUGUAUUGGCAGUAUCCGCCUGUAUGCAUGGCCCCAAUGCUUAGUGCUACAAGUCUUAAGACCUUAUAUUUUUAUUAAACUUUUGCAGAUAGCAACAGUGGAUGUAUUUUUAGAGGGGGGCUGAGUUGGAGACGACCGUGGCCCAAGACUUGUCUCAAUUAUAUCGAGAAGAUAGCAGUUACUUUCAAAUGCCUAACUGCUAGACCAUGCUGAGAAGAAUCCUAUUAAUGUGGUGCCUUCAACACCUAGAGUUUGGAUAUCGCCAAGAUUUGUAGAGCACCACUGAGGUGAUUGAAAAAAGAAAGAAACAUUGGGGGCAAGGUAAAUCACAUAAUCAAGCUAACUGUGAUUUUCUGGUGCUCUUCUUUGUUUUCUUCUUUUCUAUUUCGACCAUUGUCUUGUAGCAGCAUGAAGAUCAAGAUCGACGGCAAACUGUAAGAUAGAAGAAUCACAAGAUGAUGUCAUAUUAAUUAGUUAUCUACACAAGGAUUGCCUAUUUAAAAGGUCUUAAAAUAGGUUAUCUUUGCCUGUGUGCUUAUUCUUAGAAAUACUGCUCAUUUUUCAUGGAUAAAUUCCACUUCUUCUGUAAUGUCGAAUUGAAAAUAACUUCAUGUGUAUGUCAGCUUGUUGCUUGUCCAAGGAGCUUGUGACAUGCAGCUACUACUACUUGAUUCAAUAACACAAUGCUAUAUGCUUCCUUUUUCCAUUUAAGCUACUGAAGAUGGCAUUGUUGCCUCUGUUUCAGGGCCUCGAUCACUCUGCAUUGAAUGGAAACAGAGCUGUUUAUUUUCCCUUAUCAUAACUAUAUAGAGUCUCCAUUUCUUGAAACAAUAGUAGUUAGUUUAUUUGGCCUUAAAUAACUGGAGUUAUUUUGAAGCAUGGUAGGAUAGUAAAAGUUGUUAUUACAGCUUGCCUGCACAGUAUUAACAAUGUUCCCCUGCUGCAUGUAUGGUUAAUAGAGUGAGCCACAUGAUCAACUAGACAUUUUUGCUAUGAUAUAAAUAAAAAAAUUAAUUUUUAGCUGUCGUUUGAUGCAAUUCAACUAUUUUUAAAUAGCAUCUCGACUAGCCAUCUUCUGCAGUAAUUUGAUGGGGUUUAUUUCUGUCAUUCUCAUGGACAUGUGGGAUGGUAAACUAUUUCAUCAACUACUAUGGGUGGACGCGAGAGUUCCCAGAAAGUGGUUGGUCAUAGAUCUACUGAAGUGGUUAUGGAAUGAGAGCAAUGAUAACAUUUCUGAAGAUAUAGCUGGAGCUCUAAAGACUAUAUGUAACACCCGCGUGGAGAAAUAUAUCUAGAUAAAUUAAUCGCAUUCCAUGGCUGAUCUGGGCAAGAAAUAUGGAUGGAUUUGUACAUUUUUUAAGUCUUGCAUGCUGGUGUUGGUCAUAUUUUAAAUUCUCAUAUCAAUCAAUAAUCAACAAUAAUGGAUUGAGACAAGUUCUUAUGCACCA
RNA transcript from Panicum virgatum (switchgrass), 3873 nucleotides. It is a transcript of the gene named atherin-like, with no coding region annotated. The transcript has 5 exons. The record is from RefSeq and is a predicted model, not a curated record. Lineage: Eukaryota; Viridiplantae; Streptophyta; Magnoliopsida; Poales; Poaceae.